Molecule: non-coding RNA, 54 nt
Filed under: Pseudomonas sp.
Lineage: Bacteria; Pseudomonadati; Pseudomonadota; Gammaproteobacteria; Pseudomonadales; Pseudomonadaceae
Description: Guanidine-II sequence
Rfam family: Guanidine-II riboswitch aptamer (mini-ykkC)
About the family: Simpler in structure and has fewer highly conserved nucleotide positions than the ykkC-yxkD leader. Despite this each of its two stem-loop structures directly bind free guanidine.
Source: RNAcentral
ACGCGAGGACGACCUCGCGGCUCGAUCGAGUCAUUAACCUUGGGGACGACCCCG